UGCACGGAAGGCCACGGAGUCCCAAACCAUCGUUUAGCCGGGUCGCCAAGAGCGCUGGCACCAAUCUUCUCUCCAAGCCGCUCGGAACGAAAUCUCCAGAUGUUGAUGAACUACUUACUAUACCCUCCACCAGUUGUAGACAACAGGGCCAAUAAUGAAACAUGGUGGGAGCUGCAGUUCAGCAAGAUCUGGAAGGGUACAGACUGAGCAUCUCAGUGUACUGAAAAAGGGCAGGUUAAAAAGCCGAGGAAACAGAAAUGUGGUUCCUUGCCUCAUGGAUGUCACACCUCUGCUUGGCUGUCCUUCUGAAAGUAGGCCCCAAAUUUUGAACUUCCAUUCAGGCACGUCACGUAUCUGUCCCAGAAGUUCCUCCUCCAGGCCCCAGUCUCAAAGAAUUGGUUGUCAGCUUGUCUUCUUCCUAUCAAGAUUCCUGCGAUUCAGAGAAAUUCAAGUGGAGAGUUUUUCUUGUCAGGGGUGUAUCAAUUUUUAUCAGAGGAAUUUCCACAUGCAGCGUAACGGUUGAAGAAGAAAAAUGUUGAUCUGUUCUCCUUCCACGCAAAGACACAGAUUAAUCUGUGUUGUCCAGAUAAUAAAAAUUUCAGCAAACAGGA
This is a long non-coding RNA of Thamnophis elegans (Western terrestrial garter snake), 611 nucleotides long. RefSeq lists it as uncharacterized. Lineage: Eukaryota; Metazoa; Chordata; Lepidosauria; Squamata; Natricidae. The transcript has 3 exons. The record is from RefSeq and is a predicted model, not a curated record.